GGGCACCUUCGGGGGCCUAUACCCGGUGGGCAGAUUGCCCACCCUACACAUAGCGGACCCCACAAAGGGUACGCGUUUGCUAAACGGAAGACAGAAA
RNAcentral lists this non-coding RNA (97 nucleotides) under unclassified sequences. RNAcentral describes it as "L2-Alphaproteobacteria ribosomal protein leader". It matches the Rfam family "L2-Alphaproteobacteria ribosomal protein leader". The record is from RNAcentral.